This 253-nucleotide ribosomal RNA is filed under the name uncultured bacterium. RNAcentral's name for it is "partial 16S ribosomal RNA". It matches the Rfam family "Bacterial small subunit ribosomal RNA", at positions 524 to 777 of the family's 1533-position model. The record is from RNAcentral.
UACGAAGGGGGCUAGCGUUGCUCGGAAUCACUGGGCGUAAAGCGCACGUAGGCGGCUUUCUAAGUCAGGGGUGAAAUCCUGGAGCUCAACUCCAGAACUGCCUUUGAUACUGGAGAGCUUGAGUCCGGAAGAGGUGAGUGGAACUCCGAGUGUAGAGGUGAAAUUCGUAGAUAUUCGGAAGAACACCAGUGGCGAAGGCGGCUCACUGGUCCGGAACUGACGCUGAGGAGCGAAAGCGUGGGAGCAAACAGGG